CAUCUAUCAACCAUGGCCUUGAUUGACUUCGAGAACAUGGCUUGGAGUUUGGGGGCCUGCUGGCGGACCUCGGUCGUCAGCUCUCCUGAAAUGUAUUAGCGAUAGUCGAGCAUAAUGGGUCCCUAACAUGCACGGCCUUUUUCGACGUGAUAAUGAUCGUCGUCGGGGCUGGAGUGGUUUGGAUUCACGAAGUUUCGCUUCCAAUCCCUAGUGCUGUUUUCAUUAACACACGUUUUCGAACCA
Molecule: unclassified non-coding RNA, 243 nt
Filed under: uncultured Tylopilus
Lineage: Eukaryota; Fungi; Basidiomycota; Agaricomycetes; Boletales; Boletaceae
Description: sequence contains ITS2
Source: RNAcentral